UAGACAGCGUGAUUCUUGAGAAGUCCACCAUGAAAACAUUGACAAGUCUGUUGCUUUUGAUCUGUCUGUGAUCUAAAAGCUGUUUCUUUUUUUCACAGGAUGGCCUAUUUGCUUAAAGUUCUUUGUUUGUGUAGCUAAUGAGGGCUCUUUGAUGGUGUUAUAGUCUACUGGAAGUCUGGAAGCCCAGUUCAUCAUAUGAGUUGCUUUGGAGAUGUUGCAAGACGCCUUCAGGAAACCGCUCUAGAUGAAGCCACUAAAGGGAAACAAUACAUCCACUCUUGCCUUAGUAGAAAGCAGUACGGUGAAGGGCUGAAGGCAGACUGUUGUUCCACGGGUUCUGCGUUUUUGGGAGGCAAAAAAUGUGAAGAAGGGAGGUGAGCUGAUGGGCGUCGACAUGGACUUGGUUGAUGAAAAGUCCUCCAUUAGUGCCCGUCGACUCAACACGUUCCACCACCUCCUAAGAGAGGGUGCGAUGUAACAAUUAGCAACCAAACUUUAAAGUCUCAGACUCCCUCAUUGCUAUACACGGAGCAAACAAAAUUCAUUAAAAUAGUAGCAACCAUCAACCAUGUUCCUGAUGAGAUGUUUAGGUUCCUUGCUUAUGACCAGCGGCUCAUGCUUGCACACAUUUAAUACCGAUUUACCAGCUGUGGUUAGUGAAGUGAGGGGGCAUCAAAGGGAUUUUCAACAAUGAGACAAAAGACCACAAAAUGCAUAACUUGCAUCUUGACAGGUGUAUACAUAUGAAGUACUACGUAAGCGUUAAAUCACUAGAAGCUGAGUUUAGUUAUUUGUGAUCAAUGAUUGAUUGUUUGUUCACUUUUCUCACACAGAAGCGAAACAACUGUUUGCAUGAGUGUUUUGACAACUUAGUCUAAAGUUGCUACUAAUAUCAGUUUAAAGUUAAUGGAGGUAAUAAAUUUUUAAAGAACUAAUCAACAAUUUAAAUUGUUUAGUUUGUCGUACAAACUCGACUUUAAGCAUCAUUUUUAUUAUAAGUUUAUAGGCUUUAUUAUAUUUAGAUGAUUCAAUGGAUCAUGAGGAAUGUGAGAGAUUGGUGACAAAUGUACACAUUGAUUGAUAUGCAAUAUAUAUACGAUUGUGGUUUACUCCCUUCAUACUUUGGGUUUAUUAUGCUUUAAUGUCUUCUUUUCCUAAAAGUUACAUCUAUGACAUUUUUAUAUCAACAAAGACUGUACCUAACCAAAACAUCCUUGAGUACGUAUUACAUAUUUAUGUCUCAAAUUUUUUAAGCAGCCUAUUAUCAUUCUAACGUCCCUGGCCGUUUACCAUUUAUUUUCAUUAGGAAGUGCAUCAAUAAGAAGGGCCUCAAGUUGUUCUACAACCAAAUAUGGGGGUGUCCAGGAAUUUUGUUGUCUAACCAUGGCUGACUUAAUGCACACGUACUAAAUUCAUAGCCGCAGAGAGCGCAUUAGAACUCAUCCCAUGCUUUGUAAGUCAUUUACGUGUCCCUGCCUAUAUUUUGUUAAUCUACAUGGAGAUAAUAACCAUCCUGGUGAUGACAUGCUUGCAGCUGGAGCGGUGAAAAUUAACCCCUGCUGAUGGGUUUAUAAUUGGAUCCCCUGAGAAAACAGCUGAGGGAGAUGAUGUUGGAAUACUUGACGGAAGUGCUGCUGAGUCUGCUCUUCCACAUGUUGAACCUGUCUCAGGUGGAGUGGAUGAAGGGAAGAAGCCACACAUUUUUUAACUUCACUGCCUACGAAGAACCUAACUUCAAAUUGGAAAAUCUCAACUCUAUCGCAUUUCUGCUUUUAAUGUUUUCACUUUCACUUUGUCUAUUGUUUCCUGAAUUUAAACCCCUUCUACCGGCUGUUUCUUUAAUCUUUCCUUAAGGUUGUCGUAGUAACAAGGAAAAAUAAUUCGUUUGAUCUUUAACAUAUACUCUGACUCUAUGUAGUGGAAUAACAAAAUUUAGGAGAAGCGAUAGGCUGGCUCCUCCAUGGAAAACGUCGUACACGUACUGGGAAAUACCAGCAAUUUUUUUCUAAAAAAAACUGUAACAUUGGUUGUUAUGAGAUGUCACUGAGAUUUUUUGUAAGAGUGCAGCUAACACUGUAGCAUUGAUGUAUGUAGUUUAACAAGUAAGCUAUAGUUAUGUCGCUCGCAAUUCCAGCACAAAAUUGUGAACAUACUUUUUAAUAGAACCGUAUAAUCUGGAAACUGAAAUCCAUCACAAGCUCGCGAUAAUUUAAUCAAUCAUAACAGUAAACUUAAAUGAAAUAAUAUGGAAAAAGAAGUCCAAGUCUUAAUUUACAAUAUACACAUACUAAAAAAAAAUGCAGCACAAUAAUCAUGGAUUCAGUGCCUGACUGGUUCAAACGCAGCGGUUGCGGGUGGUUGCGGUUUCUAAUGGUUUUAAGAGAUUUGUACGACUGGUUCUGCGGUUAGAAAUUGUUACGUUUGCUGGAUAUUUACGACUGGUUAACUACCAAAUGCAGCAGCGGUUAAAUAAUAAAUUAACAAUAUUUACAUUUUAUAUAAUUAUAAAAAUAUCAAAAAUCAUAAUAUUAUAAUAAAUAUAAAAACUAUAUUUAGAAAUUUAUAGUUUUAAAUUUUUAAAAAUUAUAGAAAAUAUUUUUAUUUUUAUAAUUCCAAUUUAA
Long non-coding RNA from Brassica napus (rape), 2621 nucleotides. RefSeq lists it as uncharacterized. The transcript has 5 exons. The record is from RefSeq and is a predicted model, not a curated record. Lineage: Eukaryota; Viridiplantae; Streptophyta; Magnoliopsida; Brassicales; Brassicaceae.